UACGGAGGAUCCAAGCGUUAUCCGGAAUCAUUGGGUUUAAAGGGUCCGUAGGCGGGCCAGUAAGUCAGUGGUGAAAUCUCCCGGCUCAACCGGGAAAUGGCCAUUGAUACUGCUGGUCUUGAAUUAUUGGGAAGUAACUAGAAUAUGUAGUGUAGCGGUGAAAUGCUUAGAGAUUACAUGGAAUACCAAUUGCGAAGGCAGGUUACUAUCAAUAUAUUGACGCUGAUGGACGAAAGCGUGGGUAGCGAACAGG
RNAcentral lists this ribosomal RNA (253 nucleotides) under uncultured bacterium. RNAcentral describes it as "partial 16S ribosomal RNA". It matches the Rfam family "Bacterial small subunit ribosomal RNA", at positions 524 to 776 of the family's 1533-position model. The record is from RNAcentral.